UACAGAGGUCUCAAGCGUUGUUCGGAUUCAUUGGGCGUAAAGGGUGCGUAGGCGGCGCGGUAAGUCGGGUGUGAAAUCUUGGAGCUUAACUCCGAAACUGCAUUCGAUACUGCCGUGCUUGAGGACUGGAGAGGAGACUGGAAUUUACGGUGUAGCGGUGAAGUGCGUAGAUAUCGUAAGGAAGACCAGUGGCGAAGGCGGGUCUCUGGACAGUUCCUGACGCUGAGGCACGAAGGUCAGGGGAGCAAACGGG
Molecule: ribosomal RNA, 253 nt
Filed under: uncultured bacterium
Lineage: Bacteria
Description: partial 16S ribosomal RNA
Rfam family: Bacterial small subunit ribosomal RNA
Source: RNAcentral